Acanthaster planci (crown-of-thorns starfish) is the source of this 549-nucleotide long non-coding RNA. NCBI's taxonomy places the organism in Eukaryota, Metazoa, Echinodermata, Asteroidea, Valvatida, Acanthasteridae. The record is from RefSeq and is a predicted model, not a curated record.
UUUGUUUACAAAUUUCCGCACCGCGUGCGGAUAAACAGGCCUUUACCGCUGAUUUUGCACAGAUAAAUUAAUUCUGUUUGCUUUCAACUGUUGUAAAGCUACAGGUACUUUUUUGAACACUACCAAAUUCAUGAAUGCCAUCAUAUAAACUCCAAAAAGGAUGAAGGUGGCUGUGGAAGGAGGGUGCCCAGUAUGAUGUCAUUGAGAUGCAGAGGGUGAACAUGUGGCACAUUUCUCCAGAGCUUUAAAAAGCUGAAUAUGGAGUUUAUCAAAUUUUGCGAUCUUUCAAUCUUUGGGGAGGUGAUUAAUCAGAGGUUUGAGAAGCAAGACGACUAUGAUGAACUGGAAAGCGACGGAUGCGAGUAGAAGUCCCUGAUAUAAGAUGGCCUUGUCCUGAAUCAGCCCGUACUCGUCCAUCACGAGGGCAGUACCAACACUAAAAAAGGGGGUUCGUGUUGAGACAUGGUUUUCAGUACACUGCAAAGUGUCACUAUCCGAAGACAUUCCGUCUUGGUAUCCGCGUUGCAUCUCAUGACCACACUUUCUCAC